CGGUGAAUACGUUCCCGGACCUUGUACACACCGCCCGUCAAGCCAUGGAAGCUGGGUGUACCUAAAGUCGAUAACCGCAAGGAGUCGCCUAGGGUAAACUAGUAACUGGGGCU
RNAcentral lists this ribosomal RNA (113 nucleotides) under uncultured bacterium. RNAcentral describes it as "partial 16S ribosomal RNA". It matches the Rfam family "Bacterial small subunit ribosomal RNA", at positions 1360 to 1482 of the family's 1533-position model. The record is from RNAcentral.